GGUUCCAUAGUGUAGCAGUUAGCACGUCUACUUUACACCCAGAAGGUCCUGGGUUCGCACCCCAGUAAAGCUA
Molecule: non-coding RNA, 73 nt
Organism: Pteropus alecto (black flying fox)
Lineage: Eukaryota; Metazoa; Chordata; Mammalia; Chiroptera; Pteropodidae
Source: Rfam